GAGUUUGAUCAUGGCUCAGGAUGAACGCUAGCGACAGGCUUAACACAUGCAAGUCGAGGGGCAGCGGGGGUGAUGGCUUGCCAUCACCUGCCGGCGACCGGCGCACGGGUGAGUAACACGUAUGCAACCUGCCCGCCACAGGGGGAUAGGCGGAAGAAAUUCCGUCUAAUACCGCGUGACGCGGCACCGGGGCAUCCCGGUGCCGCCAAAGGGAUUACCGGUGGCGGAUGGGCAUGCGGCGCAUUAGCUAGUCGGCGGGGUAACGGCCCACCGAGGCGACGAUGCGUAGGGGUUCUGAGAGGAAGGUCCCCCACACUGGUACUGAGACACGGACCAGACUCCUACGGGAGGCAGCAGUGAGGAAUAUUGGUCAAUUGGCGCGAGCCUGAACCAGCCAAGUCGCGUGAGGGAUGACGGUCCUACGGAUUGUAAACCUCUUUUGCCGGGGAGCAAGCGUGCGUUCGUGAACGCGCGUCGAGAGUACCCGGAGAAAAAGCAUCGGCUAACUCCGUGCCAGCAGCCGCGGUAAUACGGAGGAUGCGAGCGUUAUCCGGAUUUAUUGGGUUUAAAGGGUGCGUAGGCGGGAUGCCAAGUCAGCGGUAAAAAUGCGGUGCUCAACGCCGUCGAGCCGUUGAAACUGGCGUUCUUGAGUGGGCGAGAAGUAUGCGGAAUGCGUGGUGUAGCGGUGAAAUGCAUAGAUAUCACGCAGAACUCCGAUUGCGAAGGCAGCAUACCGGCGCCCUACUGACGCUGAGGCACGAAAGCGUGGGUAUCGAACAGGAUUAGAUACCCUGGUAGUCCACGCAGUAAACGAUGAAUGCUAACUGUCCGGCUCGAAUGAGCGCUGGGCGGUACAGCGAAAGCGUUAAGCAUUCCACCUGGGGAGUACGCCGGCAACGGUGAAACUCAAAGGAAUUGACGG
This 922-nucleotide ribosomal RNA is filed under the name uncultured bacterium. RNAcentral describes it as "bacterial SSU rRNA". It matches the Rfam family "Bacterial small subunit ribosomal RNA", at positions 9 to 916 of the family's 1533-position model. The record is from RNAcentral.